Molecule: long non-coding RNA, 601 nt
Organism: Helianthus annuus (common sunflower)
Lineage: Eukaryota; Viridiplantae; Streptophyta; Magnoliopsida; Asterales; Asteraceae
Exons: 3
Source: RefSeq, a predicted model, not a curated record
GGUCGAUCGUACAAGGCCGAGGAAAAGGGGUAAACCCUAAUUCUCAAGAAAUCUCCAAAUUGAAAAGGGAAUUGAAGGUUUUUAGGAUGCAUGUAUCAAGAUUAUCGAUCUCCUAAGUGUUCUUCACUAUCAAGAUCAUGUUAAGAUGGGAAAGCAUGGAAGGCAAGCUGAAAGGAUAUGAGGAAGCAUGUACGAAACGGGCAUUCGAGGUAUGUUAACAUCGAGUUCAUGAAGAAUGGAAGUCGAACUCGGAACAAGAGAAUUUAAGAGGAUGAUCACAUGAAUUAAGUUUAUAUUAUUGAAUGUUAUACGUUUUUAUUUAUAUAAUAAUAAAGUUGUGAUGUUGUCGAUGACUAAUGGUUAAGUUGUAAAUGGUGUCCACAGGAAUUACACGGAUUUUCUCUAUUAUGAACGAAGUUAAGCGGGCGCAGAUCGAGUCAAGGAGCAAGGAUUGUACGGAAGAAUGGUCACCUAGUUUGGAUUAUGUAUCAUAUGUAGUUUUGUUUAUCAUGAAAGUAGUUAAUUGUUUUAGUAAAUAUCAGACAUUUUGUAUUGGAGUCUUUAUGUAAGCAAUGUAUUUAGUAAAGAAAGAAUUUUUUUA